RNAcentral lists this ribosomal RNA (437 nucleotides) under Clostridioides difficile. Its description in RNAcentral is "bacterial SSU rRNA". It matches the Rfam family "Bacterial small subunit ribosomal RNA", at positions 108 to 563 of the family's 1533-position model. The record is from RNAcentral. Lineage: Bacteria; Bacillati; Bacillota; Clostridia; Peptostreptococcales; Peptostreptococcaceae.
GAGUAACGCGUGGGUAACCUACCCUGUACACACGGAUAACAUACCGAAAGGUAUGCUAAUACGGGAUAAUAUCUUUGAGAGGCAUCUCUUGAAUAUCAAAGGUGAGCCAGUACAGGAUGGACCCGCGUCUGAUUAGCUAGUUGGUAAGGUAACGGCUUACCAAGGCGACGAUCAGUAGCCGACCUGCGAGGGUGAUCGGCCACAUUGGAACUGAGACACGGUCCAAACUCCUACGGGAGGCAGCAGUGGGGAAUAUUGCACAAUGGGCGAAAGCCUGAUGCAGCAACGCCGCGUGAGUGAUGAAGGCCUUCGGGUCGUAAAACUCUGUCCUCAAGGAAGAUAAUGACGGUACUUGAGGAGGAAGCCCCGGCUAACUACGUGCCAGCAGCCGCGGUAAUACGUAGGGGGCUAGCGUUAUCCGGAUUUACUGGGCGUAA